UGGGGAAUAUUGCACAAUGGGCGCAAGCCUGAUGCAGCAACGCCGCGUGAGGGAUGACGGCCUUCGGGUUGUAAACCUCUUUUAGCAGGGAAGAAGCGAAAGUGACGGUACCUGCAGAAAAAGCACCGGCUAACUACGUGCCAGCAGCCGCGGUAAUACGUAGGGUGCAAGCGUUGUCCGGAAUUAUUGGGCGUAAAGAGCUCGUAGACGGUCUGUCGCGUCUGCUGUGAAAUCCCGAGGCUCAACCUCGGGCCUGCAGUGGGUACGGGCAGACUAGAGUGCGGUAGGGGAGAAUGGAACUCCUGGUGUAGCGGUGGAAUGCGCAGAUAUCAGGAAGAACACCGAUGGCGAAGGCAGUUCUCUGGGCCGUAACUGACGCUGAGGAGCGAAAGCGUGGGGAGCGAACAGGAUUAGAUACCCUGGUAGUCCACGCCGUAAACGUUGGGCGCUAGAUGUGGGGACCAUUCCACGGUUUCCGUGUCGCAGCUAACGCAUUAAGCGCCCCGCCUGGGGAGUACGGCCGCAAGGCUAAAACUCAAAUGAAUUGACGGGGUCAUAGCUGUUCCU
RNAcentral lists this ribosomal RNA (567 nucleotides) under uncultured bacterium. RNAcentral describes it as "partial 16S ribosomal RNA". It matches the Rfam family "Bacterial small subunit ribosomal RNA", at positions 355 to 937 of the family's 1533-position model. The record is from RNAcentral.